This 2460-nucleotide long non-coding RNA is filed under the name Marmota monax (woodchuck). The record is from RNAcentral. Lineage: Eukaryota; Metazoa; Chordata; Mammalia; Rodentia; Sciuridae.
UGGGGAUCAAAUCCAGGGUCUUGUAUGUGCUAGGCAAACACUCUCACUGAGCUAUAGCCCUACCUUUUCUUGAAUUUUUAGGAUAAAUACCAUAUUAAAGUAAGUGCUUAAAGUAAAUUCUUACCACAGUAUCCUCCUGGAUUUAAAUAAAAUUUUGGUCUAUAAGAAAAAUCUCAGGAUAAGAAAGAUGUUAGGAUAUUGGGAAAAGAGAUGUUUUGCCUAAUAUGUCCUGAUGCUUGUUAAUUAAAAUACAGGUCUAUGUUGAGAAUUCAUGGAGGAUCUUAAAGAGAGUUUUAGUAGCCUAUUAUUUGAGACUAUCCCUAAAUUAACACUGAAAAAUUAUCAUUUUUUUAAAGAAUGCUUUUAUGGAAAGCUUCAGAAAUUUACAAAGGUGAGAAAAGAGUAAAAUAAACUCCCAAUUGGCCAGCUUCAAACUUAAAAUAUUGCCUUCUAGAUUCAUGUGUGGAAUACUUUAAGGCAAAUUCCAAGCACUGAAAAGGAAUUUACAGUGAAAAAAAAAAUGUAUGGUUCCCUCUGGGGGUGGAGCAGAAGCAGAGAACUGACUGGGAAGGAGCCUAAGGGAAUUUUCUGGGCCAAGGGAAAUGAUCAAUAUCUUAAUAGAGUAUGGGUUACAUGGGUGCAAGCAUUUGUAAAAACACAUGGAAUUGUUUAUACUCAAAUUUGUGCAUCUUGCUAGAUGUAAAUUUUACCUUUAAAAACAUUUGAAACUUUGAUCUCUAAUAGUUUUUUGCUUUUACAGUUAGCAAUUCUGGAACUCCCUUUUGUAUAUAUGAUACUUAAACAGACUAGGACAUAUACCUAGGAUAAUGAGAGCCAGGUUUCCCAUUGUUAGAGAAGAGAGUUAUCAUUCGAAUGUGGGAAGAAGAGGUCUCAAGUAUGUGUAUUUGUGAACCUAUUAAGUAUAUUUGCUAACACAGGACAAAUGAAUGUAGCUGAAGGUUUCUUGGAGUUUGUGCUUAUAGAAUAUAUCCUACCAAGCAUGUUGAGUCAAUAGUUCCACAGUCACUUGAAAUAUUUCUUCUCUAUAUGGCUCAUUUGUUUCAAUUUUUCAAAUACUUUAGAAAUGUUCAUUUUUAACUUAUGUAAACACAGUCCCAAUGUCAAGACCAUAAGACAGUACAUUUUCAGGAAGGUCUAGUUCAACAUCCCUAUUCCAUACAACUCCCUCUGUUUUCUUCCCUAACUACUUUUGAUUUUAUACUUCCCUUUUUUCUUUUUGCAAGUAGAAGCCAACACACAACUCCUUUUUUUAAAAAAGAGAGAAAGUUUGCCUACUAAUCACAUUGCCCUUCACUUAAAAAUAUAGAUUGAUAGUCUCCAGAUCCAUCCAUUCACUGACAAACUAAAAAGAACCAAUUAAAAUGUGUGUGUGUGUGUGCAUGUGUGUGUACAUGUAUGUAUUGAGCAUCUCUGAGUCAAAAAUCAAAAGCUUUUUGAGUGUUGAUAUAUGUUCAAAAGUUGUAUUUUGUAGCAUUUUGGAUUUCCAGAUUAGAGAUGCUCAGCCAUUAAAGUCUAGACAUUUAUUCCAAAAUCUGAAACAUUUCUGAUCCCAAGCAUAUUGGACAAGUAAUCUAGAACCUAUAUGUCCCUAGCAGUAUAUUUCUAAUCCCUUUUCAGAAGUAUAGAUUCCCCUCAAUUAUUUGGACGUAACAAAGUUUAUUUGACCACUUCUUCACCACUGGAUAUUGUAAAAAUAAAUGUUCAGUGGUUUUUCCCCCCCAGAUUUUUGCUAUUACACAUAAUACUAUAUUGAAUUAUCUUGCACAAAUGGAAUUUUAUAUUUCGGCCUGCACAUCUCUAGGAAGGAAUCCUACAUGUGAGAUUGCUAGGUAGGUAGUGCACUUGGAAAUACUUCUAGAUACUGUCAAAUUCCCUUCCACAGAUUUACCAUUUUUUUGUUACCACCAACAAUUUUAGGAUAUCUGUUUUAUCACAGUCUACCAAGAAAACAGGUUGUCAAAUUUUAGAUAUUGCUGCCAAGUUCCAGAAGAAAACUGGUAUCUCCUUUAUGCAAAGUUGAGUAUCUUCUUAGUAUGCUGGAGUUGUGGUCAUUUUUCUGUAAAUUUAUUCAUGUCUUUUGCCCAUUUUCCUUUUGGAUUGCUAUUUUUCUCAAUUUUUGGAAGGUCUUUGCAAAUUAGGAAUAUUUUAUUUAAAUUGAUAAUAUUUCCCAUAAUUUAUCUUUUUUUUUUUUGCUUUUGUUACUAUCAUACUUGCAGAAAUUUUUUAUUUAAUCAAAUUGAUUAAUUUUCCUUAUUCUAAACAUUGAAUCAUGGUCUGGAGUUUUUUUUCAUUUCCAGAUUACAAAAGAAUUUAUCCAUACUUUCUUUUCUGCUAGUACUUAUAUGGUUUCAUUUUAGAUUUCCAGAUUAGAGAUGCUCAGCCAUUAAAGUCUAGGUAUAUAUUACAGUCUGGUCUCUUACAAAGCCACUGGCAUUAAAU